Molecule: transfer RNA, 73 nt
Filed under: Marmota monax (woodchuck)
Lineage: Eukaryota; Metazoa; Chordata; Mammalia; Rodentia; Sciuridae
Description: tRNA.Ala
Source: RNAcentral
CUGGGGCUGUAGCUCAGUGGUUCAGCACUUGCCUAGCAUGUACCAGGCCCUGGGUUCAAUCCCCAGUACUAGA